GGAUGAGAGAUACACCCCGCCCACAGGGGACUGUGGGCGGACCGGGCCGAGGCCUCCCCAGCUUCGACCUGGUCGUGCCCUCGCGCACACACAACCGGGGCCCGCGGGCUUCGGGUCUCCUCACGAUCGGA
Molecule: non-coding RNA, 131 nt
Filed under: Streptomyces toyocaensis
Lineage: Bacteria; Bacillati; Actinomycetota; Actinomycetes; Kitasatosporales; Streptomycetaceae
Description: Streptomyces RNA 5676
Rfam family: Streptomyces RNA 5676
About the family: Identified by deep sequencing of transcriptome at the end of exponential growth phase. Appears longer on northern blot than sequencing transcript.
Source: Rfam by way of RNAcentral